GAUGAACGCUGGCGGCGUGCCUAAUACAUGCAAGUCGAGCGAACAGACGAGGAGCUUGCUCCUCUGACGUUAGCGGCGGACGGGUGAGUAACACGUGGAUAACCUACCUAUAAGACUGGGAUAACUUCGGGAAACCGGAGCUAAUACCGGAUAAUAUAUUGAACCGCAUGGUUCAAUAGUGAAAGACGGUUUUGCUGUCACUUAUAGAUGGAUCCGCGCCGCAUUAGCUAGUUGGUAAGGUAACGGCUUACCAAGGCAACGAUGCGUAGCCGACCUGAGAGGGUGAUCGGCCACACUGGAACUGAGACACGGUCCAGACUCCUACGGGCGGCAGCAGUAGGGAAUCUUCCGCAAUGGGCGAAAGCCUGACGGAGCAACGCCGCGUGAGUGAUGAAGGUCUUCGGAUCGUAAAACUCUGUUAUUAGGGAAGAACAAAUGUGUAAGUAACUAUGCACGUCUUGACGGUACCUAAUCAGAAAGCCACGGCUAACUACGUG
Molecule: ribosomal RNA, 497 nt
Filed under: uncultured bacterium
Lineage: Bacteria
Description: partial 16S ribosomal RNA
Rfam family: Bacterial small subunit ribosomal RNA
Source: RNAcentral